Molecule: non-coding RNA, 220 nt
Organism: Pelobates cultripes (western spadefoot toad)
Lineage: Eukaryota; Metazoa; Chordata; Amphibia; Anura; Pelobatidae
Source: the annotation of a GenBank genome assembly
ACUACAUGUAAGGAAUUUCUUGUGUUUUCUCCUAUUUUAUUUAAUGUACUGUUUUGCAAUUUGUUAUCUGUAUGUCAUUUAUUUCUGUAUUUUGUACUCAGCACUGUGAAUCCUUUUUUGUCAGAUUAAAUGUUUACUUAAUCAGCUUGUGUCUCUGUUCUCUAUGAGCUUCACUCUCCAGAGGAAAGCUCAGGUAAACACGUUACCAAAAAGGGUUAAC